This 1890-nucleotide long non-coding RNA is filed under the name Sus scrofa (pig). Its description in RNAcentral is "lncRNA (ENSSSCG00060025462.1)". Lineage: Eukaryota; Metazoa; Chordata; Mammalia; Artiodactyla; Suidae. The record is from RNAcentral.
GAGUUCUGUGCUUCAACCCUCCUUUACUACUUCUCUCAGUACACUCACUCUAAUUCCCCUGCUUUAUUUUCUCCUUUUUCCUCCAAAUCAUUAUCAGUUGAAGGAGUGCUCAAGGACUACUUCAGUUCCUCCUCCUUCUCUAAUAGACAUGUCACUUCCUGUCUCCAUUAUGUGCCCAUUCUUCAGCAUGAAGAGUUAUUGUGCCAUUACUUUCUCUCUUCAUUUGAAUCAAGUUGUAUUUCUUCAAUUUAAUAUGUAUUCAUAGGUUCCCAGGUUAGGGGUCAAAUCGGAGCUGUCGCCACUGGCCUACACCAGAGCCACAGCAACGCGGGAUCCGAGCCGCGUCUGCAACCUGCACCACAGUUCACGGCAACGCCAGAUCCUUAACCCACUGAGCAAGGCCAGGGAUAAGACCUACAACCUUAUGGUUCCUAGUCGGAUUCGUUAACCACUGCACCACGACAGGAACUCCAAGGGUAAUGCUUUCUUAGGCUUUAUCUUUAGCAAUGAACCAUCUCUCCUUCCUAUCCAUAAUUGACUAUUCAGUGGUCCUGGAAUCUACCCUGAAGUCUUAUCCCCCCAUCUGAGCCUUUGUAUACAUUUUUCUCACUGCCUGGAAUGACUUGCACCCUCUUCCCUGCUAAGAAAAACUUUUCUGAUAAAAAAAAAAAAUGUAUUUAUUCAGGCCCAGCUAAAAUCACAACUUCUCUACAAAGUUUUCCCCUUUAAGUCAAGAAUUACAUAGUAGUUACGAAUAUGGAAGAUUCAGUCUACAAUGUUCACAAUUCUUCUUUAUAUUGUCUUUCUAUAAUUUAAGUUUAUGCCUGUUUCAACCACUACAUGGUAGGAUGUUCAAAUCCACAACCUGGUCUUUUUCAUCUUUGCAUCCCACAUUGCCCAGCUCAGUGCAAGGUAUGUAUUACUUGCUGUGUCUCAAGGUUUGAGCUCAUAAACUUUGAAGAUGAAUGAAAGAUCUCUGGGUUAAGAUCUCCACUUGUCUGAUCACUAGCACUCUGGAGGCAAGUAACUCAGCAUUUCUGAAUCCUCAGUUUCUCCUUUAAUAAACUUAGAGUAAUAAUGGAUUCUACGUCAUGAGAAUGAGUAUCAGAAUGUGUGUGAGAUGAGCUAAAUACUCCAAAAAAUAGCUACAUAUUAGAUAUUCUAUGAAUCUUUCUUGAAAUCAAUUCAAGUAUUUGUAUGGGAGAGCCUUUCUACCAUUUUAAAUGUGGGUGGUGACAAAAAGGGACACGAAGGUGGCCGAGGUUGGGAGGGGCACUUGCUCUCAACAGGACCCUCUCUAGUCCAAAAGCCUGUUUGUACCUGAAAUCUGACCUUGUGCCUCAGAGCAUAAGAAUCACUUUGAUCCAACCCCUGACACUUGAUUUUAUUGUUCUCUUUGUGAAACAAUCUCAUUAGAGAAAUCAUGCUGCUGUGAAAGCAGGUCACUCAGCUGGGGGCAGGCAAAGAAAGUCUUGCUUGGCUUAGUCAUGACCUCCAUGAAGAGUGAAGUGUUAGUGAGGAGCCCUGGGAUUUGCAGUGUGCCACGGCCAAGGUUUUCACUAGAGGCUGCUGGGAGUUUGGGCAGAAGGAAGAGUAAUGAAGGGGUUGACUGAACUGCUGCUGUGGGUAUUAGCAUCAGUUCUCCCCUCCUGGCUAGUAAUGAGCUCUCUGCCCAUCUGGUGGGAAAUCCCGGAUGGAAGGAGGAAGCAGGGUGCUGCCAAGGGUGAUACUGACAGUGAUAUAUUUAGAAUAAACACCCAACUGGGUUGCUCAUCAUCCGCAGUCAACAUUGACCUUCUUGCAUUUUCUGCAAGUACAAAAAGUGUUCAUUGAAGAACCUGGAACUCACUUCGAUUUAAGAUACAUUUUUUGGCUUCUUGUCUUUAUAAA